CCCUUAGAUGUCCUGGGCUGCACGCGCGCUACACUGAUGUGUUCAGUAAGCACCUAACCUCUUCCGAAAGGAACGGGUAACCUUUGCAAAGCACAUCGUGAUGGGGAUAGAUUAUUGCAAUUAUUAGUCUUGAACGAGGAAUUCCUAGUAAGCACAAGUCAUCAGCUUGUGUUGAUUACGUCCCUGCCCUUUGUACACACCGCCCGUCGCUCCUACCGAUUGAAUGUUCCGGUGAGCUCUUCGGACUGCGCGGUCUGCAGUUUCUGCGUUCCGUGCGGAAAGUUGCGCAAACCUUAACAUUUAGAGGAAGGAGAAGUCGUAACA
Molecule: ribosomal RNA, 324 nt
Filed under: uncultured eukaryote
Lineage: Eukaryota
Description: partial 18S ribosomal RNA
Rfam family: Eukaryotic small subunit ribosomal RNA
Source: RNAcentral